Aegilops tauschii subsp. strangulata is the source of this 1402-nucleotide non-coding RNA. Lineage: Eukaryota; Viridiplantae; Streptophyta; Magnoliopsida; Poales; Poaceae. The record is from RefSeq and is a predicted model, not a curated record.
GUAGUUGUAUACCUCCUUUUUAGAAUUGGAUGAACACCCAUAGUUCAGUUUGGGCUCAUGCAGUGUGUUUUUUCUCGAAUGCUUACUCUUGAUGCUUCAUGUGAUUCAACAUCGAUAAUUUCUUUUACUUAGUUUUUAUGCAUUUUAUGUAUUGUUUGUUGUCGAAUAGAUUCUGAACCGAUGUACAUGAACAAAAAUAGAUGAUAAUGUAUCGAUAAAUUCCAAUUAUUUAUGCAUGAUCAUUUUGCUAGGCAUUUUGCUGACAAAGGAAAAACCUGAAACUAAUUUCCGUUUAACAUAAACUCUAAUAUCUAUACUGUACAUACAUUUUAGACAUGUAUAUUUGUUCACUAACUAUUUAUUUUCUGUUGAAAUGAAUGGUAAUACUUGAUUUUCAAUUUCCUAAAUCUAUAUUAUUCUUCUGUUGAUAAAAAUAAUAUUGGGGCACACCACAUACUAAUUCACUCAGUUUAGGUCUGUUUCCUUUGAGAUUCACAAACAAGUGAUGUAGAAUUGAUCCGAAUUUUAAACAGACCUACACUUGAGUUUAUGACUGCUUUUUAUGUAUUUUAUUCUUUUACAGGAAUGCAUCCAUAAUCUUGGUAUAAAAUUUAUCUGGAUGGCUCAGAACCUUCAAAUGGCAUGGGUGAGAUACAGUUUGCUGUAUUCGGAUUUUUUUCAUCAUCACAGGUUUGCAAAUUUUGGUUAUAAUGCCAGUGUGUAUUUUAUGUUUCCAUUUUCCAUCAAUUCAUCUUGUAGAAUCUCUGUGACCCUGAACGGUUGUUUGGAACUUCGGUUCAGUCAUAGCCUGAUUUUUGCUGCCAGUAUUAGAUUUGUGAAGUUGGCAUUUGACUAUGGAUCAAAAUAUCCCCGGUUGCUCUAUGGAUCAAAGGUUUACAUGAUUUUCCGAGGAGGGGAUAUGGAAGCUGGUUCAUAAUAUUUUAGGAGUUGUGAUAGAACAAGAAUGGUUUCACUACCCAGCCUAGAGCAUCUAUUUAUUUUGCAGCGGAGAAAAUCUCUUUAAGACUACCUCAGGAGAAAGUUCGCCUUCGUGCUCUGCCGUCUAAAUGUGUUGAUUCCCCUUGAUGUGACCAUACUGGAUCUCACUGGUGGCUGCUCAACCUACAGGGGUCUCUCUCUGCCGAUCUCCUUUUUGCAGCAUAGAAUGGCAGGAAAUUUAUCCAUCCACCUGUGGUGAGAACUUGGUGUCACGUCUACCUGCCGAGCUGUCGCUGGUGCUAAAAAUGGUGUUGCUGCAGCUGACAGAUGCCAUGGACCAAGUGCUAUUCAGAUCUAAUCUCUCCAUGAUGCAGGACUCAAGUGUGUGUAAACCGUAAAGAUUAGACCAAUGGAUAUCAGAAAAAAGGAGCUCAAUCAGGUAUUUCACCAUCUUAUGCUACAC